GAGUUUGAUCUUGGCUCAGAUUGAACGCUGGCGGCGUGCUUAACACAUGCAAGUCGAGCGGUAACAGGUGUAGCAAUACAUGCUGACGAGCGGCGAACGGGUGAGUAAUGCUUCGGAAUCUGCCCUGUAGUGGGGAAUAACCAGCCGAAAGGUUGGCUAAUACCGCAUACGAACUACGGUUGAAAGCGGGGGAUCGCAAGACCUCGCGCUAUAGGAUGAGCCGAAGUCGGAUUAGCUAGUUGGUAGGGUAACGGCCUACCAAGGCGACAAUCCGUAGCUGGUCUGAGAGGACGACCAGCCACACUGGGACUGAGACACGGCCCAGACUCCUACGGGAGGCAGCAGUGGGGAAUAUUGGACAAUGGGGGCAACCCUGAUCCAGCCAUGCCGCGUGUGUGAAGAAGGCCUCGGUUGUAAGU
This 419-nucleotide ribosomal RNA is filed under the name uncultured beta proteobacterium. Its description in RNAcentral is "bacterial SSU rRNA". It matches the Rfam family "Bacterial small subunit ribosomal RNA", at positions 9 to 430 of the family's 1533-position model. The record is from RNAcentral. Lineage: Bacteria; Pseudomonadati; Pseudomonadota; Betaproteobacteria.